AUCUAUCAACCCCCCUAUUUUGUAAUGAGAUAGGCUUAGUGGGCUUGGAUUAUGGCUGUCUGCUGGCUUUUAAAAGUCGGCUCAGCUGAAAUACACGAGUUACCCUUGCUAUUCAUAACCUUUGAACGGCUUGACUCGGCGUAAUAAUUAUUUCGCUGAGGACGUUUAAAAAUGUUGCAAUAGUUUAUAGUGGUGCUCCUAAUGCCAUUACAAUCUAGU
This 219-nucleotide unclassified non-coding RNA is filed under the name uncultured Erythrobasidiales. Its description in RNAcentral is "sequence contains ITS2". The record is from RNAcentral. Lineage: Eukaryota; Fungi; Basidiomycota; Cystobasidiomycetes; Erythrobasidiales.